GCCCCAGGCACGGGGGGCGCAUGCUCGCGAACCGCGUCAGGACCGUGAAGGUAGCAGCGCUAAGCGAUGUCAGGCGUCGCUCCGAAUCACCUGGGGCGAA
Molecule: signal recognition particle RNA, 100 nt
Filed under: Gemmatimonadota bacterium
Lineage: Bacteria; Pseudomonadati; Gemmatimonadota
Description: Gemmatimonadetes bacterium signal recognition particle sRNA small type
Rfam family: Bacterial small signal recognition particle RNA
About the family: The signal recognition particle (SRP) is a universally conserved ribonucleoprotein involved in the co-translational targeting of proteins to membranes. Archaeal SRP consists of a 7S RNA and homologues of the eukaryotic SRP19 and SRP54 proteins.
Source: RNAcentral